GCACCCGUAGGCGGCGAAAGCCUGAUCCAGCCAUGCCGCGUGAGUGAUGAAGGCCCUAGGGUUGUAAAGCUCUUUCACCGGUGAAGAUAAUGACGGUAACCGGAGAAGAAGCCCCGGCUAACUUCGUGCCAGCAGCCGCGGUAAUACGAAGGGGGCUAGCGUUGUUCGGAAUUACUGGGCGUAAAGCGCACGUAGGCGGACUAUUAAGUCAGGGGUGAAAUCCCGGGGCUCAACCCCGGAACUGCCUUUG
RNAcentral lists this ribosomal RNA (250 nucleotides) under uncultured bacterium. RNAcentral's name for it is "partial 16S ribosomal RNA". It matches the Rfam family "Bacterial small subunit ribosomal RNA", at positions 357 to 629 of the family's 1533-position model. The record is from RNAcentral.